This is a long non-coding RNA of Alexandromys fortis (reed vole), 4442 nucleotides long. RefSeq lists it as uncharacterized. The record is from RefSeq and is a predicted model, not a curated record. Lineage: Eukaryota; Metazoa; Chordata; Mammalia; Rodentia; Cricetidae. The transcript has 3 exons.
CUUUUUCCAGAAAACUGCAGAUUUUAAGCACUGAGCCCCUGAGGUCCUGAAAAAGUCGUGGGUUAAGAAGUUACCGACCUUAUAAUGGUGGUGUGAGUUACAGCCAGUGUGUAACAUGAACAGCUCAGAAACAUAAUAUUGAAGUCAUGUCUGUGUUCAUACCAGCCUCUUAUGUGGUCAAACCAACUGCUUCCUUCUACUGGGAAGAAAAGUAACAAGUGAGAAUGCCAAGCUGUGUGUCCAUGUAGUGGACAACAAACUCUGUGCCUCCUUUUCUGGUUUGGAAUUUUUAGAAAUAAAACGGAGGGCCUGAAAUGGACAUCCAUAUCCUUAUUUAAAAUGCUUAGUGGUUUGUGGGAACAAUUACCUGACAUUCAUAGAAACCGGUCUAUAUAAAGUUUCUACAGGAGUAUGAAAGAAAUAAUAGAGAAAUAAAGGGUCUAAGGCUGCAGGCGGCUUUAGGACACACUGGUUUUUUUCCUACUUCUCCACAGAGGUCACAUGUCUCUGUUUUUCCUCUUAUUUCUGUCUGCAAUGGUACAGAAUCUGAAUAUCAUCUUACAAGAAAGCUAAUGCUUUUGUAUCCUAUAAAGAAUUGUCACUUAUAUUGGUUUAAUAAAAUGCUGAUUGGCCAAUAUCUAGGCAGGAAGUAUAGGCCGGGUGACCAGACUAGGAGAAUUCUAGGAAGAGGAACGUCAGAGACAGUCAUCAUAUAGAGAAAGCAAGAUGAAAAUUCUGCACUCAGAAAAGGAUGUAGUUCAAAAAGAGGUCCAGACCAUGACUGGUAUACCCACUGAAACAGUCUACCUUAUCUAAUUGGAGCUUUGCAACUUCAGUCGGACCUGGAAGAAACAAGCAUAGAUCCAAACUAGACCCUCUGAAUGUGGAUGACUGUUGCAUGACUGGGGCAGACUGGGGGAACACUGGCAGUGGCAUCAGAAUUUAUCACUACUGCUUGUCCUGACUUUUGGGGAACCUAUUUUCUUUGGAUGGAUGCCUUGCUCAGCCUAGAUAUAGUGGAGGACCUUGAAAAAUCAAUGUGCUUUACCCUCUCUGAGUAGUGGGUGGGGGAGGUGGAGUUCAGAGGUAUGUGGAAGGAAUGUGAUGUGGGGAGGGGGUAGUAAAUUGGAUUUGUAUGUAUAAUAAAAAACAAUAGUUUGUUUUUAUAAAAAAAUUAAUUUAAUUAAAAAGAAUGUAGUUCAAUUCUCAAAAGCAAUAUUAUUUGUAAUGUUCAUAAAUAUUGAACAAUAAUUUGCCUUCUGUGAUCAAAAUAUAUAAAAUUUUUAAUUAAAAAUUUAAAAGUGAAAUUCAUUACUCAUGAGGGUCAAUUGAUAGAUAUUAUAUGAUAACAAAGGAGUUAAAUAUGAAAACAAAAGACUAAUAAUCAUAAUGAAAUAUCUAGUAAUCUAUUUAUAAUCUUCAAAUAAAAAUGAGCAUUUCUUUCAUAUCAUUCAGAAAAAUAUUGUAAACAUGAGUUAAGAACAUAAGUAGGAUAAAAACUCACACAUAGAAGCAAUAAUCUGUGUGUAUCUGUCCACAUUAGCACCUGAAGAUCUAGGGCAGGAGGAGGAGCUCAUGCUAGUUUUGGCUACAUGAAAUACUCUCAUAAAGGAAAUAAAGUAAGGGAGUGAGGAAAAGAAUGAGAAAGAAAAACCAAAACCCAGAGAAUUUAUCUCUAGGACUAAAGCAAGGGAAAAAGUGUCAAAAAUGAAUCUAUUUAAAAGAAAAAUAGGACAGGUCCCACAGACCCCACCUGCACAAGAUAAAAAAGGUGGAUGUUUGAUAUCUUGGCUGGAAAGCCCUGCUCUCUAGGCCCUAUACCCGCACUUCCACCAACCACUGAGACCCCAGCAAUCAGACAGCAGCUCUCUCUCUUAUGAACUAUCUCCUGCUGCAGGACCCACUAGCUGGCCUACACAUGAAGGCACAGCAACUCCUGGAGCUACAGGCCUGAACUGCACCUGGAGCUACAGAACCCGCUUGUACAAAUUGGAGGAAAAGAUGGGUUGACAGCAGUGUACGAAUAUGUUCAACAACAUAAACAGCAACAUGGCAUUGUCAGAAAUGAGUGUUUCUUUCUUUUUUUUUUUUUAUUUUUUUUUUUUGGUUUUUCAAGACAGGGUUUCUCUGCGGCUUUGGAGCCUGUCCUGGAACUAGCUCUGUAGACCAGGCUGGUCUCGAAGUCACAGAGAUCCACCUGCCUCUGCCCCCCCCCCCCGAGUGCUGGGAUUAAAGGCAUGCACCACCACCGCCCGGCCAGAAAUGAGUGUUUCUACAACAACCAGGUCUGAAUAUCCCAACACACAGAUGAAGCAGAAGAAAAUGAUCUUAAAUAUAACUUUCUGAAAAUGAUGGAGGCCCUUAAAGAGGAAAUGGAAAGUUCCCUUAAAUAAAUGGAGGAAAAAGAAAAAAAAACUGGAAGAAAUCAAUAAAUCCUUUAAGAAAGUCAAGAAUACCAGGAUAAAACAACCAGACAAGUGAAAGAAACAGUCCAAGACUUGGAAAUUCAAACAGAGGCAAAAAACACAAGCUGAAGGAAUUCUGGAUGUGGAAAAACAGUAUAAAUGAACAGGAACUACAGAUGCAAGCAUAACCAAUAGAUGAAAGAGAUGGAAGUGGGACUCUCAGGCGCUGAAGACACAAUAAAGGAAAUUGAUUCAUAGGUCAAAAAAAUGUUAAAUCCAACAAAUUCUUAGUACACCCCCUCCAAAUUCCCUUUGUCAUAUACUAAUCAAAACACUAAACAUACAGAAUAAAGAAGUAUACUAAGACCUGCAAAGGAAAAAGGACAAAGAACGUAAAAUGGCUGAAAUAACAGAAUUACUCCAGACUUCUCAAUGAAAUUCUGAAAGCAAUGAAGUCCUUGGAAGAUGUUAUGCAGACACUAAAAGAUCAUGGAUGCCAGCCCAGGCUACUAUACCCAGCAAAGUUCUCAAUCACCAUAGAUAGAGAAAACAAGAUAUUCCAUGACAAAACCAGAUUUGAACAAUACAUAGCCACAAGUCCAUCCCUACAGAAUGUACUAGAAGAAAAACUCCAGUCAAAGGAAGCUAGUUGUACCCACAGGAAACACAGCCAACAGGUAACCUCAUAUCAGCAAGCCCCAAAGAAGGGAAGCACACAAACACUACCACCACCACCAAAAUUAAACAGGAAAGCAAUUAUCAAUCACUGGUCAUUAAUAUCUCUUAAUAUCAAUGGUCUCAAUUCACUUAUGAAAAGAGACUGGCUAUCACAAUGAAUACAAAAACAGGACCCAUCCAUUGCUGUACAAAAGAAUCACACCUCAACCACAAAGACAGUGAUUCCCUCAGAGUAAGGGCUAGGAAAGGAUUUUCCAAGCAAAUGGGCCAAAGAAGCAAGUGUAUAUAACUAUCCUAAUGUCUAACAAAAUAGAUUUUAAACUAAAAUUAAUCAAAAGACAUGGAGAAGGACAUUUGGCUCAUGUCAGGCUAGUGCAAGCUCAGGGACUGUUGACUGACAGGUGAGAAACCUGCAUGGGACUGAACUAGUUUCUCUACAUGUGAGUGACAGUUAUAUGGCUUUAUCUGUUGGAGGGGUCCUGGAAGUAGCAAUAGGGCCUAUCCCAGGUACAUAAACCUGCUUUUUGGAGUCUGUUCUCUAUAGUGGGAUACCUUACUUAGUCUUGAUAUCAAGGGUAGAGGUUGCUCCUUCCUCAAGUUAGUAUUCCAGACCUUGUUGAUUUCUGAAGGAAGGCCUUACUCCCUCUGAGAAGUGGAUGGAGAAUGAGGAUGCGAUAGGGGGAGGACAGGGAAAGAAGAUAGAGGGGGAACUGGGGCUGGUAUAUAAGGGUGAAAAGUAAUUUUUAAUAAAAAGUAUGAAAAAUAGCAAGAAAAAUCAAUCAGUUUGAUAACACUAAAAUUAAGAAUGUUGCUGAUGAAAACCCACAUGAGAAAAGCAAUGAGGAUGAGCUAAAAUAGAUUCAUAUCUAGAAGUUAUAGAAAACAAACUGACCAGAAGAAUGUAAUUAAACAUCGGGCUAAUGAUAAACUCUUUUCACAUAGUCCAACAUCAUGAUAGCCAAUAAACAUCCAACAUUGGCACUCCCUUUAUGAGGAUGAGGAUGCAAAUUAACAUACAUUUGAGACACCUUUUCCUAGCUGCCAUGUUGAUAAACAUCUAAAAGUCUGAUAUGUCAAGUUACUAGAGAAACAUUAAUAAGUCAUCUAUUGUGCAUUUCUGCAAGAAAAGACAAAUACACUUUCUUCAGAAAUACUGCACCACCUUUGUAAGUGGAGUACUCUGGUCACUGUGGCUCUGCAGCUCUAUUCAUGGGUAUGGGUUCUAAGGAAGCUGCUGAGAGAGUACCAGGAGACACACUCAAGAACGUUCAUAGCAGCUGCAUCACAGUGGCAAAAUAUUGGAAUAGACUAAUUAUUCAGUACUUAGAGAAGGCAUUUCAUGGGUACAGUAAGUCACUG